UUAACUCGUAUUUGUAUGGAGUUGGAACGUUUGCCUACUUUUGCCGCUAGGGGCGCUAUUCCAACUGCAUUCAAAUUUGAAUUA
Molecule: microRNA precursor, 84 nt
Filed under: Bombyx mori (domestic silkworm)
Lineage: Eukaryota; Metazoa; Arthropoda; Insecta; Lepidoptera; Bombycidae
Description: mir-2807 microRNA precursor family
Rfam family: mir-2807 microRNA precursor family
Source: Rfam by way of RNAcentral